Molecule: unclassified non-coding RNA, 314 nt
Filed under: plant metagenome
Description: partial contains 5.8S ribosomal RNA, internal transcribed spacer 2, and large subunit ribosomal RNA
Rfam family: 5.8S ribosomal RNA (bases 1-105)
Source: RNAcentral
GAAAUGCGAUAAUUAAUGUGAAUUGCAGAAUUCAGUGAAUCAUCGAGUCUUUGAACGCACAUUGCGCCCCCUGGUAUUCCGGGGGGCAUGCCUGUCCGAGCGUCAUUGCUGCCCUCAAGCACGGCUUGUGUGUUGGGCUUCCGUCCCUGGCAACGGGGACGGGCCCAAAAGGCAGUGGCGGCACCAUGUCUGGUCCUCGAGCGUAUGGGGCUUUGUCACCCGCUCCCGUAGGUCCAGCUGGCAGCUAGCCUCGCAACCAAUCUUUUAAACCAGGUUGACCUCGGAUCAGGUAGGGAUACCCGCUGAACUUAAGC